GUCAUAUAAGUAUUUAUACCGUUUUUCCAGUGAUGUAGACUUUCUGUUUAGUGUACUGUUAUGUAUUGUAGCGUGUAGUUUGUUACCUUUGGUGUCCUAAACUGGGACGAGCUGGCGCUAGUUUACCGUUUACGAUGAUGGUUAUCGACAAAUUACACCUGUCAAAAAAUGUAACGUUUGCCUGACUCCACUGAUAUAUAUGUAUGUGUAAGAUUUAAUGUUAGCAAGGUUACCAACUCUCACGCCUCUGGCGUGUUACACACGCUCUCACGCUAAAACAUUGCGAAAGCGGAGACGAACAGAGAUGAAGAGAUGAAGUCAGAGUCUUUUUGGUAUAGAGUGAUGGUUAAACUACGCAAUUUUUUUUAACAGUUAUAUACGGGGCUGUAAUGGAGACUACACGCACAUGAGCGCCGUUUAGCAACCUCUUAAAUUCUGAAAUAGCGUUUACGCAGACGUCCCUUUACAGCAGUUAACGGCUCAGACCGGCCUUCUACCGCAGCUUCUGUUGUAUCUUCUACGAGCGCUCGUUUUGUUUUCCAUUUGAACGUUGUAUCCUUGUAUGAGACACGGAGACAGCUGUUACCGUUAAAAUGCGAUGACCAACAAUCUACCGACCACUCCUGCUACGCGGGUGUCUUAAUCAAAUAAACCCUCUUUGCUGAAGCCAGCAGGUAGACUGGAGCCGCUUUCAUGAGACAGACGAAUGAAUCAGAGUUCAGAGGAUCAUUAACUGACGUGCAGCAUCAAAUAAUAAUGUCAGACAAAGGACCACAAAAGUGUGAAGGAAUCAGGAGAGAGGAGACAGAAGUGAGGAAGAAUUGCAGAAUCGUCGUCUGAUAGAGAGACAUGAACAGAUUCAAGGCAGGAAAACUGACUCUCUCACUCUCCCUCUUAUCUCUGCACAUUACUGAAGUGGAGUCACAGAGCUUCAGUGUAAGUGUGAAGUUUUCACUCAGUUUAAAACGUUUUCAACUUGCUUUGAGUUCAUUCACUUUGUGUUCAGUCUGAGCACACAUUGAAAUUUAUUCAAAACUAAAAACAUGUUAAUAAUUAAAAUCAUUUGAAUAUUAAAAUAUGAUUAAGAAGAA
Thunnus maccoyii (southern bluefin tuna) is the source of this 1091-nucleotide long non-coding RNA. RefSeq lists it as uncharacterized. NCBI's taxonomy places the organism in Eukaryota, Metazoa, Chordata, Actinopteri, Scombriformes, Scombridae. The record is from RefSeq and is a predicted model, not a curated record. The transcript is spliced from 3 exons.